Mandrillus leucophaeus (drill) is the source of this 1838-nucleotide long non-coding RNA. RefSeq lists it as uncharacterized. The transcript has 2 exons. The record is from RefSeq and is a predicted model, not a curated record. NCBI's taxonomy places the organism in Eukaryota, Metazoa, Chordata, Mammalia, Primates, Cercopithecidae.
AAGGAUUUACUAAUUUGUCCUCAGACCACAAAGAGAUGGUUUUACAUCCCUAACUAGCUGCAUAGAAAGCUGGGAGCUGAACCAGCAUGCCAUACUGCCACCUACCUACAGCAGCGCUGGCAGAAGUUCUUCAGCUCAGCCAGCAGACCAGCCGGCAUCUGCCCUGUGCCCGGCGCUGAGCCCGCUCCAGCUGGGAAUGCCCAGAUCCUGGUCUAAUUGAGAAGCUUGUAGCAGGGGAACUUUGAACCCGGCUGCCUGGAAGCUUGGAAGCAACUCAGAUGUCUUCAGUAGGUGAAUGGGUAAAUAAACUGUGGUGCAUCCCAAUAAUGGAAUAUGAUUCAGCAUUAAAAAGAAAAGAGCUGUCAAGCUAUGAAAAGAUAGGGAGGAAAUUUAAAUGCACGUUAUUUGAGUUAAGGAAGACAAUAUGAAAAGGCUACACCCUGCAUGAGUCCAACUCUAUGACACCCUGGUAAAGGCAAAACUGUGGGGACAGUAAAAGAUCAGGGGUUGCCAAGGGUUGGAUGUUGGGGGAGGGAUGAAUAGACAGAACAUAGAGAUUCUUCAGACAGUGAAACUACUCUGUCUGAUACUAUAAUGGUGGAUACGCACUAUUAUACAAUCAUCCAAACCCGUAGAAUGUACAACAGCAAGACGAACCUCCAACUCCUGGGCUCAAGCGAUCCUCUGCCUCAGCCUCCCGAGUACCUGAAACUAUUGGUGCACACGACCACACCUGGUUAAUUUUUCAAAACUUACUGUAGAGGCGGGUCUCACUGUGUUGCCCAGGAUAAUAUCAAACUCCUGGCCUCAAGCCAUCCUCCUGCCUCAACCUCCCAAAGUGCUGGGAUUGCCACCACCCAGGGUCGUCCCUGGUCCUUAGUUGGCAAUAAAGUAUCACUCUUGGCCUAUCAGGUGCAACAUCAGUAUAUCACAGUAUAUCACAGUAAUGCAAGAGGUUUACAAUGCAGGACAUGGGGGCUUAGUGAGGGGACAUGAGAAUCCUCUGCACAUUCUAUUCAAUUUGUCUCAAAAUAAAAUAUAUUCAUUAAAGUAAAACUACUAAUUCUUAUCAACUCACCUCAUAAAAUGGACCGAUGGGAGACUAAGCCAGUAUCCUAUAAGCAGACACAACCAGAAAUUAAGAGUGGUCCCAUGUCAAAGAGGUUUGCCCAAGCAUUGCCGAUACAGGACUGAACAGAAGGCCGUCCUGGCCGUCUCGAAUGUCAAUGUUAGCAAUAGUUAUUUUAUUGUGAUGUUGAACUCAACAUCUAUAAUGCCAUAUUUGUUUCUUCAAUUAUCACAUUUGACCUGUCACAAGCUUAAUAAUAUAUACUCUUUAAAAAGAUAGUUUGUAGAUCAAGAACUCCCAGUUAAGCCUGGUAGAUGAGCUGCCUGUGUUUGUUGCUCUCCCUUCAAGAAAACUGCUAAACUGAUAAGAAUUGAAAAGAUACAAACCCACUUGUCGAAGGGAGAGGAGACCAACAGCAGACAUAAGAUUUCAGAGGAUAUUUGGAGAAUGGAAAGAGCACGGAGCUGACUUAGGAAAGCAUCCCGGGCUGGGCGUGGUGGCUCACACGGGUAAUCCCAGCACUUUGGGAGGCCAAGGCAGGUGGAACCAGCCUGGCCAACAUGGCAAAACCCCGUCUCUACUAAACACACACACACACACACACAAAAUAGCUGGGCGUGGUGGCAGGUGGCAGUGCCUGUAAUCUCAGCUACUGGGGAGGCUGUCGCUGGAGAAUUGCUUGAGCCCGGGAGGUGGACGUUGCAGUGAGCUGAGAUCAUGCCACUGCACUCCUACCUGGGUGACAGAGUGAGACUCCAUCUCUAAAAAA